Non-coding RNA from Taeniopygia guttata (zebra finch), 448 nucleotides. The record is from RefSeq and is a predicted model, not a curated record. NCBI's taxonomy places the organism in Eukaryota, Metazoa, Chordata, Aves, Passeriformes, Estrildidae.
UUUUUUUUUUUUUUUUUGGUCAUCUCAUUAUUCCAUAAAAUGCUCCACCUGAACUGGAAUACUUUCUGGGAGGUUGUCCAGAAAUAGUGGAGGGGAUGCACCAAUGUAAGAGUAAAGGCACUCCCAGUUAUAAAGGCAGCAGAUCCAGUCCCAAAUUCCCCAUUCUGCCAAUAUCCUCUCUUCCUAAAGAGGACACUUUGCAUAUUGUGUUGACAUGACUGGAAGAGAGGUUGAAACAAAAUGAAAUGAACUGUGUGAAUGAGGGAAAAAGACCAGCAAAAUGAACCACAAAACAAGAGAUAGACAUGAAACCGUUUGAGUCUGAUUGCAGUCAGUGCUGAAGUGUGUGUGCUGUGGAGUUCCAGGUGCCGAAGGUCACAGUCUCCCAGGUGGUGUUGAGAGGGCUCUAAGCACAUCCCUGGUUGCCUUUUCGCCAUUAAUUAAAUGA